UACGAAGGGGGCUAGCGUUGCUCGGAAUUACUGGGCGUAAAGCGCACGUAGGCGGCUUUCUAAGUCGGGGGUGAAAACCUGGAGCUCAACUCCAGAACUGCCUUCGAUACUGGAAAGCUCGAGUCCGGGAGAGGUGAGUGGAACUGCGAGUGUAGAGGUGAAAUUCGUAGAUAUUCGCAAGAACACCAGUGGCGAAGGCGGCUCACUGGCCCGGUACUGACGCUGAGGUGCGAAAGCGUGGGGAGCAAACAGG
Molecule: ribosomal RNA, 253 nt
Filed under: uncultured bacterium
Lineage: Bacteria
Description: partial 16S ribosomal RNA
Rfam family: Bacterial small subunit ribosomal RNA
Source: RNAcentral